Long non-coding RNA from Anser brachyrhynchus (Pink-footed goose), 2136 nucleotides. The record is from Ensembl. Lineage: Eukaryota; Metazoa; Chordata; Aves; Anseriformes; Anatidae.
GAUUUGUGGGCAAGAGAUGGAAAGACUUGCAGAGGAAGUGCUGUCAAGAAGGUAUAUUUCACUGGUUAGUGGAAAGACGAUGGCUGUUUUAGACAAUACUGGUACUUGACUUCCUGCGAGCCUGAAUGGAAGUGCAGUCCGCCCUGUAGUGCAUGACAAGGAACCUAUCUGAACCAUCAGCAACAGUUUCCCCAAAAUAUUGGGAUCUCUACAGAAAGACAGGCAAGUCUUACCCUCAUGUAAGUCACAGAGGAGAGACCAAAAUAAAGCUGAACCAAAAGCUGGACUUCCUGAGAUACAUCAACCACCUUUGUCAGGAAAACAGGGGGAGGGCUAGCCUGCAGUCUGAAUUUUGACCCCAUUGUGCUAUUAUUCUGUCUGUCCCUUAGGCCCACAGUGUGGUAUGGGGGCUUGGUGUGUUUGGGAUAUUUCCACUGCCUGCAGACGAAAAGCUUGUAGAGGUUGGGAGGUUCUGUGUGAGACAUCCAGAUGUGCCCGCAACCAAUGCAUGGGAAUAUUUGGAAAAACUGGAUGCUUCCUUGCAGCCUGGCAGAUAUGAAAGGCACUGUCACAGAAUAUUGACAAGAAUAGAGCACAGCUGCAGUUGCUCAGGGUUUGACAUAUACUAACUACUGCUAUAGCAGAGCAAAAUGAGGCCUUGAAAGAGGAUGUGAAAAAUUCAACAUACAGAUUAAGAAACAGAUGAAGGUGAAAAUCAAAAACUUGAGCAGAAGAUCACAGAAUUGAAAGCUGAUGCACACUGCAGCAUCUGAUGCCCUGGCUGAAAAAGCUGAGAAAUACUGUGACACAUCAAAGAAGCAGCAAUGCCAGAAAAGGACCUUGGGAUGCUGCUGAGCGAUGUGGAGAAUGAUUGUCAGAGGGGAGGCAAUGUAUGCAAUUCUGCCUGAUCUCUCUCCAGACACGAGUGGGGCAAGUAAGCAUGCAUCAGAGACAGUACCCGUCUCAGAAGGGAAGAGAAAACCACGCGUACGCUAACAUGGAUGCAGUAACUAAGGCAAGUGAGGUGCAGUGGGACAAAGGCUGGCCAUCCAUCCACUCAUGGAUGUCUUGCGCAGUAGCUGGGGAACAAGCCCAGAUUUCUCAAGCCUCAGCACAAUGCCUGAAGUACAUAAAUUGCUUUCUCCUCUUCUUUUCUUGUUGUCUUCUACCCCGGGAGGUUACUGAACCGAAAGCCUGCCUUUUCAUAAUGAGGCCAGAGUACACUGGAAUUAUCUCCGAGCAUCAGUUAAUAAAUAGCAGGAUAAAAGGUGAAGAGCUGUCUGGGAGUGAUGUGCAGUGGCUCUUGCCAUCGGAUCUGCAGAGAGCAGCAGCCCGCUCCUGUGCAGGUUGCUGGCAGGGGGAGAUGAGAGCCAGGGCAGGAGGGUGCACCUUGCCCCGGUUCAGGCAGCUUGGCCGUGCGCCUUGUGCAAUUAAACUAAAUUGCCAGAUUCUGUUACCUUUUCCCCUCUCGGAAAGCAAGAAUCCAGAUUGUUGUCAGGCUACGGCUGCUAAUGAGACCGAGCUAUGCGGCGGCAUGUUUAGUUUACCCUCUGCUGUGGUGCAGGAGAGUGGAAUUAGUGAUGGUGGGCCACAUCGGUGGGGAAAACAAAAUCUCACAACCUGCUCUAAGAGAAAGUCAUUGACUUCACAUUAGUGGCUGUAGUGAGCAGUUACACAGUUAGCACUGACCAUCUGAGCAGGAUGUGGGAACAAUGGAAACGAAAGUGUUAUUUACUUUGUAUUCACUUUAUCAUAGAAUAGCAGAAUGGUUAAGGUUGGAAGGGAGCUCUGGAGGUCAUCUGGUCCAACACCCUGCUCAGACAGGGCCACCUAGAGCAGAUUGCCCAGGACCAUGUCCAGGAGGCUUUUGAAGAUCCCCAUGGAAGGAGACUCCACAACUUCACUGGGCAACCUGUGCCAGUGCUCUGUCACGCACAGCACAGAAAUGCUUCCUGAUGUUUAGGCGGAACCUCUUGGGUUGCAGUCUGUGUCCUCUGCCUCUUGUCCUGCAUCACUGAGCACCACUGAGAAGCGCCUGGCUCUGUUCUUUUUGCACCCUCCCUUCAGGUAUUUAUAGACAUUGGUGAGAUCCCCCCUCAGCCUCCUCUUCUCCAGGCUGAACUGUCCCAGCUCUCA